AGUACCACUACUACUAGUACCGUUCCCUAUUUAACAUAUGGCCCACAAAGUGAACAAUGUACGCACUGAGAAGCCGGCCAGGUGAAUAUGCACCGUUCUUCUUCCCUCGCAUUCGCUAUGGCGUUCCUAGCUAUCGUUUACUGUUUCAUGCCGUCGCCAUGCUCAGCAGCGGUCCAAGAAGGUACGUAAAGAACUAUGUGCAUGCCAUUUUUGUAAGGGAAUUUUCUAAGAUGAGGCGGCCGGAAUGGCGAUUGAUCAUGUUCAUAGGUGUAGCUGUUCUGGACGGAUCCCGUACGCAAAUCAUUGGACCUCCGUCGCCGCGGUACGGGCCGCCGAGGCAGCCAGGCUAUGAGCCCCCGGCCGCUGCCGCCACUUAUGCCACACCGUAAGACCAUGUAGGUGGCUGCUAAGGCCCCUCACGCAUAAAGCAGGCCGAAAAAUCAGAGUGUAUACAGUGAUAAAUAAAAUCCAGACGAUUAACUACUGAGAAGUUGUGAUAUUAUUUAUUAGUUGUGAAAGUUAUGAAUAAAG
RNAcentral lists this long non-coding RNA (531 nucleotides) under Triticum aestivum (bread wheat). Its description in RNAcentral is "long non-coding RNA (TAES_LNC024988)". The record is from RNAcentral. Lineage: Eukaryota; Viridiplantae; Streptophyta; Magnoliopsida; Poales; Poaceae.